Non-coding RNA from Microbacteriaceae bacterium BACL25 MAG-120322-bin65, 207 nucleotides. NCBI's taxonomy places the organism in Bacteria, Bacillati, Actinomycetota, Actinomycetes, Micrococcales, Microbacteriaceae. The record is from Rfam.
AUAACGGAGAGUUUGAUCCUGGCUCAGGACGAACGCUGGCGGCGCGCUUAACACAUGCAAGUCGAACGAUGAAGGCUGGAGCUUGCUCUGGCUGGAUUAGUGGCGAACGGGUGAGUAACACGUGAGCAAUCUGCCCCUGACUCUGGGAUAACUUCGAGAAAUCGAUGCUAAUACCGGAUACGACCCUUCCAGGCAUCUGGUGAGGGU